UAAGUACUACCUCCGUUCCAUAAUUCUUGUCUCAAAUUUUCCUAAAAAUGGAUGUAUCUAUUCCUAAAAAAGCGUCUAGAUACAUGUAGUAUUUCGACAAGAAUUAUGAAACGGAGGGAGUAGUUU
This is a non-coding RNA of Brachypodium distachyon (stiff brome), 126 nucleotides long. The record is from Rfam. NCBI's taxonomy places the organism in Eukaryota, Viridiplantae, Streptophyta, Magnoliopsida, Poales, Poaceae.